Equus caballus (horse) is the source of this 293-nucleotide long non-coding RNA. RefSeq lists it as uncharacterized. NCBI's taxonomy places the organism in Eukaryota, Metazoa, Chordata, Mammalia, Perissodactyla, Equidae. The record is from RefSeq and is a predicted model, not a curated record.
AAGCACAGCGGAGGGGGCACAUGAGCUGGGAAGGGGAGCAGCUGUGCAGCCUGAGGCCCGGAAGGUCUUAUCCUUCCCUCCCCUCUCCCUGGCAGCCGCCCAGCCCACACAGAGCUUCUAUGUGAAUUAGAAAAAGCGGACGGCGCUGCUCGGGAACGUGAGCUCCAUCACGGCUGCAGACGUUGUCGAGAACAGCGCCUGGCAGGCUGCAGGGCCCUGGGAGGACAAAGGCCCCAGCUGAGGACAUCCAGGACCAAAGACCUCAACACCAGAGGAAUGACGGGGUAUGUGCC